This 497-nucleotide ribosomal RNA is filed under the name uncultured bacterium. RNAcentral describes it as "partial 16S ribosomal RNA". It matches the Rfam family "Bacterial small subunit ribosomal RNA", at positions 28 to 507 of the family's 1533-position model. The record is from RNAcentral.
GAUGAACGCUGGCGGCGUGCCUAAUACAUGCAAGUCGAGCGAACAGACGAGGAGCUUGCUCCUCUGACGUUAGCGGCGGACGGGUGAGUAACACGUGGAUAACCUACCUAUAAGACUGGGAUAACUUCGGGAAACCGGAGCUAAUACCGGAUAAUAUAUUGAACCGCAUGGUUCAAUAGUGAAAGACGGUUUUGUUGUCACUUAUAGAUGGAUCCGCGCCGCAUUAGCUAGUUGGUAAGGUAACGGCUUACCAAGGCAACGAUGCGUAGCCGACCUGAGAGGGUGAUCGGCCACACUGGAACUGAGACACGGUCCAGACUCCUACGGGAGGCAGCAGUAGGGAAUCUUGCGCAAUGGGCGAAAGCCUGACGGAGCAACGCCGCGUGAGUGAUGAAGGUCUUCGGAUCGUAAAACUCUGUUAUUAGGGAAGAACAAAUGUGUAAGUAACUAUGCACGUCUUGACGGUACCUAAUCAGAAAGCCACGGCUAACUACGUG